GUAGUCUCGCACAGAUGCAUAUCAAUAAGCGGAGGAAAAGAAACUAACAAGGAUUCCCUUAGUAACGGCGAGUGAAGCGGGAAGAGCUCAAAUUUGAAAUCUUCAAGGUUUUACCUUGACGAAUUGUAGUUUAAAGAAGUGUUUUCUGUUGAAGUUUUGGUAAAAGUUCUUUGGAAUAGGACAUCAUAGAGGGUGAGAAUCCCGUAUUUGACCAUUACUUUCAGCUGUGUGAUACACUUUCAAAGAGUCGGAUUGUUUGGGAAUGCAGUCCAAAAUGGGUGGUAAAUUCAUCUAAAGCUAAAUAUUGGCGAGAGACCGAUAGCGAACAAGUACCGUGAGGGAAAGAUGAAAAGAACUUUGAAAAGAGAGUUAAACAGUACGUGAAAUUGUCAAAAGGGAAGCGUUUGACACCAGUGUUGUUUUCUCGAAAAUCAAUUAAAAAGAGUUUGAUUUUGUUGUGUAUUGACCUUAACAGCUUGCAUUUCAAUUUUCUUGCUUUUUUUAAUGCACUUUUCGUUUAGCAAGUCAACAUCAGUUUCUUUUGUUGUAAAAAGGUCAUUGGAAGGUGGCUUUCUUUUCGGAGAAAGUGUUUAUAGCCUUUGACUCCUGCAAUCGGAGAGACUGAGGUCUGCAGCGUAGAUCCUUCGGGGUUAGAUACAUUUGUGCUAAGUUAUAGCUUUUUAUAGACAACUUGUUGACUAUGAUUAGUCUUGUAGCUUACUCGCUUAUGCUAUUUUACCUACGCUUAGGAUGUUGAGCGCAUGUCUCUCUC
This 772-nucleotide ribosomal RNA is filed under the name uncultured Neocallimastigales. RNAcentral's name for it is "partial large subunit ribosomal RNA". It matches the Rfam family "Eukaryotic large subunit ribosomal RNA", at positions 24 to 617 of the family's 3401-position model. The record is from RNAcentral. Lineage: Eukaryota; Fungi; Neocallimastigomycota; Neocallimastigomycetes; Neocallimastigales.